AGGAUCCGCUCGGAUCUACGAUCGCUAGGAUGCGACUGCAGAGGUCUCUGGAAGACCAGGAGUCCUUGCCUGAGGAGAGCUGAUGGAGGAGCCGUGCACCUGGAGAACCAUGAGUCUGCCUGCCAACAAGUAGUACUGGAAGGCGGGGCAUAGGGAGGUGAUGGAGGACCUGCCUGGUGAAGGACGUCAGGGUGGGGCGAGUGACACCCGACUCCAAGGGGAUAUCCACUGAGGAGAGAGCUGAAGGAGCCAUGCAUCUGGAAGGUGCAGUUGAAAUGCUGUGUCCAGUCUGGGACACACACCUGAGCUGCGUCAAGCCUGUAUCUCUGACCAGCUGGAGUCCCUUAGUGAUCAACAACCGCCACUCAUCGCUGGCCUGUGGAUUCAUCUCCUUCACUCACACAACGUGACCUUGGCCUGUGGAUUCAUCUACUCCACACUCACACAACAGGACUUUGGCCUGUGGAUUCAUCUACUCCACACUCACACAACAGGACUUUGGCCUGUGGAUUCAUCUCCUCCAC
Gadus macrocephalus (Pacific cod) is the source of this 524-nucleotide long non-coding RNA. RefSeq lists it as uncharacterized. The record is from RefSeq and is a predicted model, not a curated record. NCBI's taxonomy places the organism in Eukaryota, Metazoa, Chordata, Actinopteri, Gadiformes, Gadidae. The transcript is spliced from 5 exons.